GAUGAAGUUCAGUGGUAGAGCACUUGCCUAGCAUGUGUGAGGCCCUGGGUUCAAUUCCCAGUGUC
Molecule: transfer RNA, 65 nt
Filed under: Neotoma lepida (desert woodrat)
Lineage: Eukaryota; Metazoa; Chordata; Mammalia; Rodentia; Cricetidae
Rfam family: tRNA
About the family: Transfer RNA (tRNA) molecules are approximately 80 nucleotides in length.
Source: Rfam by way of RNAcentral